This 160-nucleotide small nuclear RNA is filed under the name Triticum aestivum (bread wheat). RNAcentral describes it as "U1 spliceosomal RNA". It matches the Rfam family "U1 spliceosomal RNA". From Rfam's summary of the family: U1 is a small nuclear RNA (snRNA) component of the spliceosome (involved in pre-mRNA splicing). Its 5' end forms complementary base pairs with the 5' splice junction, thus defining the 5' donor site of an intron. RNAcentral also lists the same sequence under 1 other name. Lineage: Eukaryota; Viridiplantae; Streptophyta; Magnoliopsida; Poales; Poaceae. The record is from Rfam by way of RNAcentral.
AUACUUACCUGGACGGGGUCGACGGCUGAUCAAGAAGAGUCGUGGCCUAGGCUAGUGGUCCACAUUGCACUUGGUGGAUGCGCUGGCCUACCAUCUCCCCAAGUGGGAGAGUGGACGUCGUAAUUUGUGAUAGAGGGGGUACGCGUUCGCGCGGCCCCUG